This 225-nucleotide ribosomal RNA is filed under the name Scrippsiella hangoei. RNAcentral's name for it is "partial Bacterial large subunit ribosomal RNA". It matches the Rfam family "Bacterial large subunit ribosomal RNA", at positions 492 to 722 of the family's 2925-position model. Lineage: Eukaryota; Dinophyceae; Peridiniales; Peridiniaceae. The record is from RNAcentral.
GAACCAGUACCGUGAGGGAAAGGUGAAAAGUACCCCGGGAGGGGAGUGAAAGAGUUCCUGAAACCGGUCGCAUGCAAGCCGUCAGAGCCUGUGUGGUGAUGGCGUGCCUUUUGAAGAAUGAGCCUGCGAGUUAGUGUUACGUCGCGAGGUUAACCCGUGUGGGGAAGCCGUAGCGAAAGCGAGUCUGAAUAGGGCGAGUGAGUGGCGUGAUCUAGACCCGAAGCG